AGAGGCAUCUCGGGACUUGUCCAGGCAGCACUUGAAACCACUGAUGGACCUCGGCAGUCUGGGAGGCACCCCCGGCAGCUCCGCCGCUGAGCCAGCCUUCUCCUCAGCGGCAAACCCGCACAAUCCACGCCCAGCACCACUGCCGGGCCGGCGAGCACAUCCGGCAACCCCGCAUCCUCCGGGACCCUGGCACAACUGAGCCAGCCCCCAGCCCCCAGCAGCGUCUCACGCAAACCGCGCCCUGUGCCACCUCCACCGCGUGGGCAAACGCUGGAAGUUGCUGCGCCAGGUCACCCACAUUAAACAGCCCCUGCCACAGCCCCCUGAGACCUUGUCGCUCGCUCAAGAGCGGCCAAACACCUCCUAAACUUGAUAAGCCCCAGCCUGGCAUCCCCAGGUGUCCCUGAUAUUCUUUUCCUUUUGUAAGCAUCUGGGCAAACUAUCAGCAUAUUUUAUCUUCCCUUCAAGGAGGGCUUUUCUGCUAGAUCUUCCUGAAUCCCAGUUCAGCACUGAACAACCUCCAAACAACCAUGUGUUAAGACACCUCCCUGCUCUUCAUACAGAAAUUGUAUUCAAACUCCUGUCCUCCUCCAGUACCAAGUUAUCAUUAUUCCACAUUCCAACAUUAUAGUCUAUUAACCACUUUUUUUUUCUUUUUCAACCUCUCUUUUUCUUUUUUCAUUUUUUUCUCUUUGUUUUUUUUUUCUCCACUCUAUUUUUCCUCUGAAUUAACACACUUUGGACUGCAUGAGGUGUACACACAACUAGUUUAAAAGUAAGUGCACAGCUCUCUCUUCUUAUGGUACAACCCCCAUUUCCAGUUGCAUCUGCAAGUUUCUCCCCAACAAGCUGAUGCCUGCUCCAGGAACCAGCAAGACAUCUAUUCCUAUUCCAGUCUCCUCCUUAAUUACUCCAUCUUCAAUGGCAGGGAUUUUAAACUUUUCUCUCUCUGCAUUCUUCCUCUUCCACUGUGUCACUAUCUAUAUCAUAUCUCCCUGAAAUCUUCACCACACAAGUUCUCUCUGCCCCAGAAUCAACUACAAAUUCCAAUACUUCCUUUUGGGGGCCUGCUUCCCAAGUUACCAAAGGCUCCAGAUGGCAUUCUUCCCCCAGUAAACAGAGCCUAUGACCUUUCCGCUCCUUCACAGGGCACUCCCCCUGAAGCACCUCCAAGUCUCCCUCUAAGUGAGGGUGUUCUCCCCUGCUGUAGCAGCAACAGGCAUUCCUAGUCCCUUCCUGAGACCCUGACCACCGUGGGGCUCUGCUCCCCUCCUGAACCUCUCCCAUAGAUACAGCGGGAGCUGAAAUCACUGAGAGAGCAGAGACAAGAGCAGGGGAUGGCACUGAGGCUGGAACCAAUAAAAGGACAAAGUUAGGAGCGGAAGUCAGCAGGAAAGCCAGAAUCAACAAAGAAGCAGAGGUAGGAGCAGGAGCAGGCAGCUCUAGAAUCAUGGUGGGGACAGGAAUGGAUGGGGAGGGCUGGAGUUCCUGACACAGGCAGAGAAGCUGAUACAGGUAGGGAGACUGAGGUACAGGUAGGGAGCUGAUGCAGGUAGGGAGCUCCUGACAUGAAUAGAGAAACUGGAGACAGAGAGAGGCAACAUUUCCAGGAGUCCCAGGCCCUUUCUUUGGUUUUCUGUCUCAUUUCCCCAGGGCCCCACCCACACGUCCCUGCUCCAAACCAUUCCCCUGACAGCUUAAACACCUCCCACUCUUCACAGCAUAGAAAAUCCUUUAUCUUCAUUAGUAUAAUAUAAUCCACCUUCCUCCAGAAAAUAAAGUUAAACUUUAAAUCAACAA
Lonchura striata (white-rumped munia) is the source of this 1800-nucleotide non-coding RNA. NCBI's taxonomy places the organism in Eukaryota, Metazoa, Chordata, Aves, Passeriformes, Estrildidae. The record is from RefSeq and is a predicted model, not a curated record.